GGGGUUGUAGCUCAGUGGUAGAGUGCUUGCCUAGCAUGCGUGAGGCACUGGGUUUGAUCCUCAGCACCA
RNAcentral lists this transfer RNA (69 nucleotides) under Marmota marmota marmota (Alpine marmot). It matches the Rfam family "tRNA". Rfam says of the family: Transfer RNA (tRNA) molecules are approximately 80 nucleotides in length. RNAcentral also lists the same sequence under 4 other names. The record is from Rfam by way of RNAcentral. Lineage: Eukaryota; Metazoa; Chordata; Mammalia; Rodentia; Sciuridae.